UGUUUGAUUUUUGAGACUUGAGAACAAUCGACUGGAAAAUGCCUGGGUGCUUUUCAAGACUGGCGGAGAGAGUGUGUGGACGUUGGCGGCCUACUGCGUCGACAGGUUGUUGAAAUUCAUUUGUGGCUUGUUUUUCUUGUCUUUUUCUGUUUUGCAGUGUUCGUGAUCGUCGACAGAUGGACAGCGACAGCAACUUCGAAGAGGAAACAACUGUCCUGGACGAGGUCCAGUUGGAUGUGCCAUUGGAUGAUGUGCCAGAUGUUUCACAGCUGCCAGUCCUCCUUGAUGUCCAGAAUGCUGCUAUCAUCCUUGAGGAUGUGCCGGAUGUGCAGACUAUCCUUGAGGAGGCCACUGGCAAUUGGCAGUUGAUUCCGAUUAGGUUCAGCCCCCUGUACUGUGGGAUAACAUGUUUGGCCAGCAGCUGGCCUGGUACUUUAACCCAGAGUCUCUGGUCACUGAGCACUCCAGCCUCCUGGAGUACCACUUGGAGAACCGCAUGGCCAGCAUGUAGUCCUACUGCAGGGACAUACUCCUUUCUCCUUCCCUCUCUCUUUUGAAGGAAUUGAGGACUUGAAGUGCUUUGUUGAACCCUGAUUAGUUAACACCCAUUAAUUUAA
Oncorhynchus tshawytscha (Chinook salmon) is the source of this 617-nucleotide long non-coding RNA. Lineage: Eukaryota; Metazoa; Chordata; Actinopteri; Salmoniformes; Salmonidae. The record is from Ensembl.